This 1979-nucleotide ribosomal RNA is filed under the name human gut metagenome. Its description in RNAcentral is "bacterial LSU rRNA". It matches the Rfam family "Bacterial large subunit ribosomal RNA", at positions 831 to 2841 of the family's 2925-position model. The record is from RNAcentral.
AAUCGAACCCGGAGAUAGCUGGUUCUCCUCGAAAUAGCUUUAGGGCUAGCCUCGAUACAGAUUUGCGGAGGUAGAGCACUGAAUUUCCUAGGGGGCGUCAAAGCCUACCGAAGAAUAUCAAACUCCGAAUGCCGCGUAAUCGAUUAUCGGGAGUCAGACUGCACGAGAUAAGUUGGGCGGUCAAAAGGGAAAGAGCCCAGACCUUCAGUUAAGGUCCCCAAGUGCGCGUUAAGUGGAAAAGGAUGUGGGAUUUCGAAGACAACCAGGAUGUUGGCUCAGAAGCAGCCAUCCAUUCAAAGAGUGCGUAAUAGCUCACUGGUCGAGAGGUCCUGCGCCGAAAAUGUCCGGGGCUGAAACGCGCCACCGAAACUAAGGAACCGAAAGGUUGGUAGAGGAGCAUUGCAUGCGGAACGAAGCAGUACCGUAAGGAGCUGUGGACUGCAUGGAAGAGAGAAUGCCGGAAUGAGUAGCGAGAUAGAGGUGGGAAUCCUCUAGGCCGAAUAUCCAAGGUUUCCAGAGUAAAGCUGAUCUGCUCUGGGUAAGUCGGGGCCUAAGGCGAGGACGAGAGUCGUAGCCGAUGGACAACAGGUGGAGAUUCCUGUACUGCGGUAUGACAGAACUGUGGGGACACGUAAGGAAAGCGGAAGCCGGGAAUGGAGAGCCCGGUGCAAGCGGGGUACCAGUCACUUUGGCAAAUCCGGGUGGCAAUGGGAAGCCGUGAUGCGGAGCGAAAUAAAGUAGCGAAGUCCGUGAGCCAUGCGUCAAGAAAAGCCGCUAUCGUUUAUACCGUACCCGUACCGUAAACCGACACAGGUGGAUGAGGAGAGAAUCCUAAGGCCGGCGGGAGAAGCAUUGUUAAGGAACUCGGCAAAAUGACCCCGUAACUUCGGGAGAAGGGGUGCCACAGAGAUGUGGCCGCAGAGAAUAGGCUCAAGCAACUGUUUAGCAAAAACACAGGUCUAUGCAAAACCGAAAGGUGAAGUAUAUGGGCUGACGCCUGCCCGGUGCUGGAAGGUUAAGGGGAGAGGUUAGCGCAAGCGAAGCUUUGAACUUAAGCCCCAGUAAACGGCGGCCGUAACUAUAACGGUCCUAAGGUAGCGAAAUUCCUUGUCGGGUAAGUUCCGACCCGCACGAAAGGCGUAAUGAUUUGAGCGCUGUCUCGACAAUGCAUCCGGUGAAAUUGAAGUACCAGUGAAGAUGCUGGUUACCUGCGCCAGGACGGAAAGACCCCAUGGAGCUUUACUCCAGUUUGAUACUGGGAUUCGGCAUGGUAUGUACAGGAUAGGUGGGAGACUGAGAAGGUAUGACGUCAGUUGUACCGGAGUCGCUGUUGGGAUACCACCCUUACCAUGUUGGAUUUCUAACCUGUGGCCGUAAGCCGGUCAGGGGACAAUGUCAGGCGGGGAGUUUGACUGGGGCGGUCGCCUCCGAAAGGGUAUCGGAGGCGCUCAAAGGUUCCCUCAGAAUGGUUGGAAACCAUUCGAAGAGUGCAAAGGCAGAAGGGAGCUUGACUGCGACACCGACGGGUGGAGCAGGUACGAAAGUAGGACUUAGUGAUCCGGUGGCAUAAAGUGGGAUUGCCAUCGCUCAACGGAUAAAAGCUACCCUGGGGAUAACAGGCUUAUCACUCCCAAGAGUUCACAUCGACGGAGUGGUUUGGCACCUCGAUGUCGGCUCAUCGCAUCCUGGGGCUGUAGUAGGUCCCAAGGGUUGGGCUGUUCGCCCAUUAAAGCGGUACGCGAGCUGGGUUCAGAACGUCGUGAGACAGUUCGGUCCCUAUCCGGCGUGGGCGUAGGAUAUCUGAGAGGAGCUGUCCUUAGUACGAGAGGACCGGGAUGGACGGACCGCUGGUGUACCGGUUAGACUGCCAAGUCUACGGCCGGGUAGCCAAGUCCGGAAGGGAUAAACGCUGAAGGCAUCUAAGCGUGAAGCCCCCCUCAAGAUGAGAUGUCCCAUUCGAAAGAAGUAAACCCCCUUGA